RNAcentral lists this long non-coding RNA (1000 nucleotides) under Physcomitrium patens. RNAcentral describes it as "long non-coding RNA (PPAT_LNC013022)". Lineage: Eukaryota; Viridiplantae; Streptophyta; Bryopsida; Funariales; Funariaceae. The record is from RNAcentral.
GUCGCCAUUUUUCUUUUCUCACCAUAACUUCUCCCCAUGAUCUUGAACAUGGCUUCACAGCACUUCGGAAUAUGCAAGUGAUUCCUUCCAUGGCGUGCAUGGUCUUCUCUCGGAGAUACAGUUUGAGAAAGUAUUUGAAUCCCCUCUAAAAAUCUGUUCUGGGUUGUAAAUUUGUGAAUUUACAGGCAUUGAUUCAAAAUAGGACGUCCCAGUUCGAAGAGUCAGAAGGCGAGCUUUCCGACGAUUUGAAAAGCUUCAUGGGCGUUGGUGACGAUAGCUGGGCGGAAUGGGAAGAAUGGAUGGGUUGGGAGGGCGCUGGCACAUGCGAUUACACGAAUCACAUCAACUCUGCCAUCUAAAACAAAAUUUCUGCUCAUCACUGGUAAACUAAUGUUCUUUCUCCGAGAUAAGCCAGAGUGCGAGGAAGAUAGAGGAGUUUCGAAAUCGCAAUUUAUUCUAUUUCGAUUCCUACCCGUUGCAUACAGAAAUUCCGUUGAGCAAUCUAAUUUAUGGUUGUACAUAUAUUGGUUCUAUAGAAAGAGGCACGCAACUUUGUACAGGUGCCUCAACAUCUUCAAAUCUCAAACAGAGCUUAGUUCGGGUGCAGCACUUGCGCGGUAAUAGUCUGCAGACAAUACUCUUGCAUAAUAAGAUGCCUCCCUCAUCUGUUCCACAGCAACGGAACACGUGCUGCGCUGUCCUCUGUUUGCAGUCUUCUUUCAUUAUUUUCUAGAUUUAGAGAUCCUCUGCAAACGUUCCAGUCUGGUUCUGAGCGUUGUAAAGGAAUGAUAAACACAGAUGAUGUGACUCCCAAAUCUGCAGUUCGGAUAUGUAAUUGUAAUUCCCCCAUACCUUUCGUAUCUCGUUAAUUGUAUGGCGGGAAAGCAAAGUUUGGCGUUGCAACGGUCAUAUCUCCCAAGCAGAGCUGAAUUUCCCCAGAAUUUUUCUUUAAUGCUUCUAUACUCCAAGAACCGUCAUUCGCACCAUUUUCUCCUCAAUU